AUUCAGCUGACUAGUCCCAAAUAGGACGAAAUGCGCGUUUCAAAU
Schistosoma mattheei is the source of this 45-nucleotide non-coding RNA. The record is from Rfam. NCBI's taxonomy places the organism in Eukaryota, Metazoa, Platyhelminthes, Trematoda, Strigeidida, Schistosomatidae.